CCUACGGGGGGCAGCAGUGGGGAAUAUUGGGCAAUGGGCGCAAGCCUGACCCAGCAACGCCGCGUGAAGGAAGAAGGCUCUCGGGUUGUAAACUUCUUUUCUCAGGGACGAAGCAAGUGACGGUACCUGAGGAAUAAGCCACGGCGAACUACGUGCCAGCAGCCGCGGUAAUACGUAGGUGGCAAGCGUUAUCCGGAUUUACUGGGUGUCAGGGGCGUGUAGGCGGGAAAGCAAGUCAGAUGUGAAAACCGUGGGCUCAACCUGUGGCCUGCAUUUGAAACUGUUUUUCUUGAGUACUGGAGAGGCAGACGGAAUUCCGAGUGUAGCAGUGAAAUGCGUAGAUAUUGGGAGGAACACCAGUGGCGAAGGCGGUCUGCUGGACAGCAACUGACGCUGAGGCGCGAACGCGUGGGGAGCAAACAGGAUUAGAUACCCCAGUAGUC
This 443-nucleotide ribosomal RNA is filed under the name uncultured bacterium. RNAcentral describes it as "partial 16S ribosomal RNA". It matches the Rfam family "Bacterial small subunit ribosomal RNA", at positions 338 to 795 of the family's 1533-position model. The record is from RNAcentral.